UAAGCAAUUAACUAGAAAUACUUCAUCAAAUCCUUUCAAUUUAAAAAGAUAGCUUUUUCAGGAUUGUCAACAAAGCACCUUGGUCAAGUUUUUAAUCUUUAACAUCUUUUUACCUCUGUCAACUUUUAAAUCAUUGUCAUCUUUUUAAUCUUGUCAUCAUUUCAGCUUGGUCAUCUUUUUAAUCACUGUCAUCGUUUUAAUCUUUGUCAACGUUUUGCCGUUUUCAUCGUUUUGUCACAGUCAACUUUGUGACGUCAGCAGCCUAAUCAGCGUUUGUCAUCGUAGCGGCAGCAGAUCAGCUCUCCCACGUAAUUUUUCUAAUUUUUUCCAGUUAUUACUGGGCUUGAGGUUGAAGAAGGGCUCUGUUCCUACAAGAUGUGAUCCACUUGCUGCUUCGCCAAACGUAAGUACAUGCUUGAUACUUAUUUGAUGUAUGUACUCCAGAGGUUUCUUUGGUUAUAAUCUAUCUUCCCUCCUGUGUAAGGAAUGCUAAUGGCUGGAACUGAAUGAAUCCAAGCCUCUUCAGCAUUUGUCCGGUUCGAAUCGUGUAAUAUAUGGUACUGAGGUCAUUCAUUCAGCUCACAUCUUAGCUGCUAACGCCAUGUUAGCCGCUAGCGGCUAGCGCUAGCCCGCCACAUGACAUUUAGUACAACUUGGGUUUGGCUGCAAUAGUAAGUUGCGAGAGUCAGCUGUUUGUCUAAUUACUACCGAGCCUUUUGUGUGUAUGUCGUAGCCCAAGUAGACCUGUGAAUUUGGGUUAUGGCAAGUUCUAUCUAAGUAUAACAUGUAUGUUGUUGCUGUCUUCUCGUAAAUGUUGCUUAUCUAGUCAGCUAGCUGUAAAUGUGACAUUGAGGUUGCUUCUCAAACUGACACACCACUGCACGCUGUGGGCACACGGCUACCUUGUAGAGGAGUUGUUGUUCACCUCAAGAACAAAGGUGCAGAUUAUGUGGAAAACUUCAAUAAAGUUCUGCUGGACCCAGGUCAUUAUAUGGAGGACCUUGUGAACAUCCCUGUCCCACCGGCCCUCUGAGCAGAAUUUGAGCAGCCUGACAGAAAGGAGAGUGGUGUCAAGGAAAACACCUGCAUCCUCCAUCUGUACAGCAGCUGCACUGCUUCCGAUCAAAAUGUCUUCUAAAACGCAAUGAGCACAACAAAGAUCCUCACAUCUCCACAGCCAACUGCCCACGACUGUACCUGUUCCACUCCAGAAACUACAUAACUAUGAAUACUAUCCAUUCAUUCCGUGGCCUGCACAUUAAACUGCAAAGGUGUAAUCCUUCUGGAGCAAGAGGAACUCUGUCCCAAGUCAAAAUGAAACACAAAAUCCUACAAAAUGUCACUGAUGGAUUGAUUGUAUUAUUGGACCCUCCAGAAAACACACAGUCUGGAACAUUGUGUGAAGCAAUGUAAAUAAUAUUCCAAGAGUCUCAAGAGUCUACCAUCUCUGUGGUCUACUUGGUUCACUACUGGAUCCUCUUGGUCAUCUUCAGCAGGACAAGGAGGGUGGCUCGCUCGCUAUUGUGGCAAUGUUGUGAAGGACAACACAAUCCACUAUAUUGUCACAUGCCCUCUCUGGACUGACGUUGAGGCCACGUAGACACUGGAACCUCGCCUUCAGGAUGCCUGUGGUCGUCUCCACCCUGGCCGUGUUCUGCUGUGGGCCCAGUUGAACCGUGUCUGUGGUCCAGGCUCAGGUUCAGGAUAGGGUGUCAUUAAAUAGGGCAGACAAGGGCACCCUCUGUCCCACAGCAAGUAGCUAUUGUAGUGUUCUGUAAUGAUUGAAAUGUGUAAAACAAUAAAAGAAUACAGUAAAAACAUGAACUUGUGUAAAUUACAACAUACCCUGUUGAAACAUGUGACAUAGUGAUGAUUCCCUGAAGAUUCUGGAACCAUGCACUGACCCUGAUCAUUUGGCUUCAACGUU
Long non-coding RNA from Betta splendens (Siamese fighting fish), 1927 nucleotides. RefSeq lists it as uncharacterized. NCBI's taxonomy places the organism in Eukaryota, Metazoa, Chordata, Actinopteri, Anabantiformes, Osphronemidae. The record is from RefSeq and is a predicted model, not a curated record. The transcript is spliced from 5 exons.